This 432-nucleotide ribosomal RNA is filed under the name uncultured bacterium. RNAcentral describes it as "partial 16S ribosomal RNA". It matches the Rfam family "Bacterial small subunit ribosomal RNA", at positions 29 to 507 of the family's 1533-position model. The record is from RNAcentral.
AACGAACGCUGGCGGCAUGCCUAACACAUGCAAGUCGAACGAGACCUUCGGGUCUAGUGGCGCACGGGUGCGUAACGCGUGGGAACCUGCCCUUAGGUUCGGAAUAACUCCCCGAAAGGGGUGCUAAUACCGGAUAAUGUCUUCGGACCAAAGAUUUAUCGCCUUUGGAUGGGCCCGCGUUGGAUUAGCUAGUUGGUAGGGUAAAAGCCUACCAAGGCGACGAUCCAUAGCUGGUCUGAGAGGAUGAUCAGCCACACUGGGACUGAGACACGGCCCAGACUCCUACGGGGGGAAGCAGUGGGGAAUAUUGGACAAGGGGCGAAAGCCUGAUCCAGCAAGGCCGGGUGAGUGAUGAAGGCUUUAGGGUUGUAAAGCUCUUUACCCGGGAUGAUAAUGACAGUACCGGGAGAAUAAGCUCCGGCUAACUCCGUG